This 253-nucleotide ribosomal RNA is filed under the name uncultured bacterium. RNAcentral's name for it is "partial 16S ribosomal RNA". It matches the Rfam family "Bacterial small subunit ribosomal RNA", at positions 524 to 776 of the family's 1533-position model. The record is from RNAcentral.
GACAGAGGGUGCAAGCGUUGUUCGGAAUUACUGGGCGUAAAGCGCGUGUAGGCUGCUUCGCAAGUCGGAUGUGAAAGCCCUGGGCUCAACCCAGGAAGUGCAUUCGAAACUGCAGAGCUGGAGUCCUGGAGAGGAAGGCGGAAUUCUCGGUGUAGAGGUGAAAUUCGUAGAUAUCGAGAGGAACACCGGUGGCGAAGGCGGCCUUCUGGACAGUGACUGACGCUGAGACGCGAAAGCGUGGGGAGCAAACAGG